GGAACCGUGGUGUACGGGUAAGCAUGGUUGCCUCUCACCCAGUCGGCUUGGGUUCGAUCCCAGACGGUUCCG
Culex pipiens (northern house mosquito) is the source of this 72-nucleotide transfer RNA. It matches the Rfam family "tRNA". From Rfam's summary of the family: Transfer RNA (tRNA) molecules are approximately 80 nucleotides in length. Their secondary structure includes four short double-helical elements and three loops (D, anti-codon, and T loops). Further hydrogen bonds mediate the characteristic L-shaped molecular structure. tRNAs have two regions of fundamental functional importance: the anti-codon, which is responsible for specific mRNA codon recognition, and the 3' end, to which the tRNAs corresponding amino acid is attached (by aminoacyl-tRNA synthetases). tRNAs cope with the degeneracy of the genetic code in two manners: having more than one tRNA (with a specific anti-codon) for a particular amino acid; and 'wobble' base-pairing, i.e. permitting non-standard base-pairing at the 3rd anti-codon position. NCBI's taxonomy places the organism in Eukaryota, Metazoa, Arthropoda, Insecta, Diptera, Culicidae. The record is from Rfam.